UACGUAGGGGGCAAGCGUUGUCCGGAUUUAUUGGGCGUAAAGAGCGUGUAGGCGGCCUUACAGGUCAGCUGUGAAAACUCGAGGCUCAACCUCGAGACGUCGGUUGAAACCCCCCAGCUAGAGUCCGGAAGAGGAGAGUGGAAUUCCUGGUGUAGCGGUGAAAUGCGCAGAUAUCAGGAAGAACACCCGUGGCUAAGGCGGCUCUCUAGUACGGUACUGACGCUGAGACGCGAAAGCGUGGGGAGCGAACAGG
This 253-nucleotide ribosomal RNA is filed under the name uncultured bacterium. RNAcentral's name for it is "partial 16S ribosomal RNA". It matches the Rfam family "Bacterial small subunit ribosomal RNA", at positions 524 to 776 of the family's 1533-position model. The record is from RNAcentral.